This 576-nucleotide ribosomal RNA is filed under the name uncultured bacterium. RNAcentral's name for it is "bacterial SSU rRNA". It matches the Rfam family "Bacterial small subunit ribosomal RNA", at positions 338 to 916 of the family's 1533-position model. The record is from RNAcentral.
CCUACGGGAGGCAGCAGUAGGGAAUAUUGGGCAAUGGGCGGAAGCCUGACCCAGCCACGCCGCGUGCAGGAAGACGGCCCUCUGGGUUGUAAACUGCUUUUAACUGGGAAGAAAGCAGCUCAUGCGUGAGAAUUUGACGGUACCAGUUGAAUAAGCCACGGCUAACUACGUGCCAGCAGCCGCGGUAAUACGUAGGUGGCGAGCGUUAUCCGGAUUUAUUGGGUUUAAAGGGAGCGUAGGCGGCUGAUUAAGUCAGCGGUGAAAGGUAGCAGCUUAACUGUUUUACAUGCCGUUGAUACUGGUUAGCUUGAGUUGACAGAAGGCAGAUAGAAUUCCUGAUGUAGCGGUGAAAUGCUUAGAUAUCAGGAGGAAUACCGAUUGCGAAGGCAGUCUGCUGCAGUCACACUGACGCUGAGGCUCGAAGGUGCGGGGGAUCAAACAGGAUUAGAUACCCUGGUAGUCCGCACAGUAAACGAUGAUUACUAGAUGUUGGCCAAGCCAGUGUCCAAGGGAAACCGAUAAGUAAUCCACCUGGGGAGUACGCCGGCAACGGUGAAACGUUAAAGGAAUUGACGG